Molecule: ribosomal RNA, 645 nt
Filed under: Microserica affinis
Lineage: Eukaryota; Metazoa; Arthropoda; Insecta; Coleoptera; Scarabaeidae
Also listed under: 1 other name
Description: eukaryotic LSU rRNA
Rfam family: Eukaryotic large subunit ribosomal RNA
Source: RNAcentral
GGACCAAGGAGUCUAGCAUGUGCGCGAGUCAUUGGGAUAUUUACGAAACCUAAAGGCGCAAUGAAAGUGAAGGUUCGCCUUGCGCGAACCGAGGGAGGAUGGACGAUUCCGAGGAGUCGUCUCGCACUCCCGGGGCGUCUCGCUCUCAUCGCGAGAAGAGGCGCACCCAGAGCGUACACGCUGGGACCCGAAAGAUGGUGAACUAUGCCUGGUCAGGACGAAGUCAGGGGAAACCCUGAUGGAGGUCCGUAGCGAUUCUGACGUGCAAAUCGAUCGUCGGAACUGGGUAUAGGGGCGAAAGACUAAUCGAACCAUCUAGUAGCUGGUUCCCUCCGAAGUUUCCCUCAGGAUAGCUGGCGCUCGCUUCUCGCGAGUCUCAUUCGGUAAAGCGAAUGAUUAGAGGCAUUGGGGUCGAAACGGCCUCAACCUAUUCUCAAACUUUAAAUGGGUGAGAUCUCCGGCUUGCUUGAACUAUGAAGCCGCGAGAUAUCGGAUCAGAGUGCCAAGUGGGCCACUUUUGGUAAGCAGAACUGGCGCUGUGGGAUGAACCAAACGCUGAGUUAAAGCGCCUAAAUCGACGCUUAUGGGAUACCAUGAAAGGCGUUGGUAACUUAAGACAGCAGGACGGUGGCCAUGGAAGUCGGA